RNAcentral lists this ribosomal RNA (84 nucleotides) under Oenococcus oeni. Lineage: Bacteria; Bacillati; Bacillota; Bacilli; Lactobacillales; Lactobacillaceae. The record is from RNAcentral.
UGUCGUGUUAAUUCCGAUGAGGUCACACCUGUUCCCAUUCCGAACACAGAAGUUAAGCUUGUCAGGGCCCAAAGUAGUUACAGG